CAAACACAAUGAAAGCACGAGGGUUUACCUGAAGAAAAGUUGUGUCAACAUGGGUAUUUUUGUUGUAUCAGUAACGACAAAACGCGGCCGCCACAAUGUACUACAACAUACAGCUAUGGAGGUGGACGUCGCUUCAUUAUUUGAACAUUUAUUUAACAAGGUAAACGAAACACUCUCGUCGAGAUACGUAUAUCGAGCAGUCGACCCCCGUCUGCAGACAGCAUCGUUGUGUCAUCGCUUACGAUGACAUUAUCUUUGUGUCAAGAGUUGGGCAUGAGAUUUGUUGUCAGACAGUGAUAUUGGUGUUAUAGGUCUGAACAAGUUACUCAGAAACUGUUUUUGAAAUACAAGUUUGAACUGAUAUUACCUCAGUAUUAACUGUGAUUGAAGUGCAAUUUCUUUUUAGUAUUUAAUUACUUUAUAGUACUGUUCAAGAACAAAAAUAAGAAAAAUACCUUAAAAUCUUUGAUUUAAAACUUAGAUGCAGCAAGUCAUCCGUCCUUAAUCCAUAUUUUAUAUCAGUGUCUUCAGGUUGUUUACAAAGACAUUUUAAAGCUUUAACAUUGAAGUCCUGAAUGGAUCCAUCUUUGAUUUGAAAUGGAUGUUUUAUUGUUUCAUUUUAUAUUUUGUUCAGUGUUUACACUUACAUUGUAUGUCUGUCUGUAGUCUAAUUAUUGUUUUAUAGAAGAUAAUUAUUUUUAAUUUUGUGAUAUAUUUAGAAGUCAUUUGCAUUUAUAAUUAUGUUAGUGUUUUGUCUGUUUUGUAUUUUUGGUAUUUAAAUUAUUCUUGUAUCUAUCAGUAUCUUUACUAUCUUAUAGGCUCUAUGACAGUCCAUGAAAGAUUGAAUUUUAAUGUGAUUAUUGGUGACAAGAGGUUUGUUUUGCAUUCCAAAUUAUCAGUAGGUUAAUUUCCAUGUUUCCUGUAUGUAAUUUUGUUGAAUAAGUAUUAGGUUCUAGUCAUUUUAUUGAAAUCAUUUGUUUUUAUGUGCCAAUCAAGUAUUAGGUUCUAGUCAUUUUAUUGAAAUCAUUUGUUUUAAUGUGCCAAUCAAAUAUUAGGUUCUAGUCAUUUUAUUGAAAUCAUUUGUAACUUAAUGUGCCAAUCAAGGAAAGUGUUUUAUAUAAUUUUGAAUCUUGUUUACAGAAGUGUACUAGCAGUGCAUAAUUUUGAUUAAUACAAUACUGUUGAUUUUGUUUUAACAAUAUGUUUGUUGAUUAUUUUGAAAUAGCGAUUACCUUGGUCUGUUUCAUCAAAACAUCUUUCAUAUCACUAGACUUCAGGAUUUGGUUGAUAGAGACACCAUACCGGUACAUAGAAUUUAUUAUUGUUAUACAUAUGCAUUCUUAAUGAAUGAUAGAGUUUAUCGUUGAAAUGAUUUGCUCAUGCAGGUAAAUUUGAAAUUAAUAAUAUAUGGUUGCAAAAAGGUUGCUCCAUAUUGUUGUGGCUUUAUCUUUUAAUUUCAAUGGAUAGUUCUAUUUAAAACGCUAUUAAACAGUGCCUUUCUCUCUUGUGUAGCUCUAUACACUAUCUCAGUGCUGUGCAAGUCAUUUCUUUACAACAUUUAACCAGUUAAGAAGUGUUUAACACAUGUUUUCACAUUAUUUACACAGUCAAAGACAUUUACUGAUAUUGAGACCUCUGAAAUAAUUCGCUCGCUCCAAAUUUUCAUGAUUUCAAAAU
This is a long non-coding RNA of Pecten maximus, 1677 nucleotides long. RefSeq lists it as uncharacterized. The record is from RefSeq and is a predicted model, not a curated record. NCBI's taxonomy places the organism in Eukaryota, Metazoa, Mollusca, Bivalvia, Pectinida, Pectinidae. The transcript has 2 exons.